Molecule: transfer RNA, 77 nt
Filed under: Neodon clarkei (Clarke's vole)
Lineage: Eukaryota; Metazoa; Chordata; Mammalia; Rodentia; Cricetidae
Description: tRNA-Thr
Source: RNAcentral
GUCCUGAUAGUAUAAACAUUACACUGGUCUUGUAAACCAGUAAUGAAAAAAAAAAAAAAAAAAUUUUUCUCAGGAUA